UGGGGAAUCUUCCACAAUGGACGCAAGUCUGAUGGAGCAACGCCGCGUGAGUGAAGAAGGUUUUCGGACCGUAAAGCUCUGUUGUUGGUGAAGAAGGAUAGAGGUAGUAACUGGCCUUUAUUUGACGGUAAUCAACCAGAAAGUCACGGCUAACUACGUGCCAGCAGCCGCGGUAAUCGUAGGUGGCAAGCGUUGUCCGGAUUUAUUGGGCGUAAAGCGAGCGCAGGCGGAAGAAUAAGUCUGAUGUGAAAGCCCUCGGCUUAACCGAGGAAUUGCAUCGGAAACUGUUUUUCUUGAGUGCAGAAGAGGAGAGUAGAACUCCAUGUGUAGCGGUGGAAUGCGUAGAUAUAUGGAAGAAUACCAGUGGCGAAGGCGGCUCUCUGGUCUGCAACUGACGCUGAGGCUCGAAAAGCAUGGGUAGCGAACAGGAUUAGAUACCCUGGUAGUC
Molecule: ribosomal RNA, 448 nt
Filed under: uncultured bacterium
Lineage: Bacteria
Description: partial 16S ribosomal RNA
Rfam family: Bacterial small subunit ribosomal RNA
Source: RNAcentral